This 4060-nucleotide unclassified non-coding RNA is filed under the name Leishmania donovani. RNAcentral's name for it is "gene:LdHU3.27.3250(CDS-product:dual_specificity_p rotein_phosphatase_putative)". Lineage: Eukaryota; Euglenozoa; Kinetoplastea; Trypanosomatida; Trypanosomatidae. The record is from RNAcentral.
CAUCACGCAACAACGACGCACUUCGACACCUCGCCCAUUCUUGUCCUUGCCCAUCUCUUCCCUCAACGCACAUCGUUUGCUCUCCUACCCAGACUGCAUGCCACCCCAAGUUGCCUCCUGAAAACCGUUAUUCGCGAAGUCACUCACCCCCAUCACCGUCGCUACCAUCACAUCAGCAUCAAUCACAGCGGAGGACGAAACGGCAAACGCGAACACAGCCGCUCCGUGCACGGGCACUCACGCAACCACACAGGUCACGUGGCCCACUGUUGCCACCUAAAGCUGCUUGUCCUCCCUGGCCCCUCUGCGCCACACAGCGCUGCUUCCCAGCUUCCUCAACCGCAGCAAAAGAAAAGUGCGACGAUGCCGCCCAAGGUGAGCGAACUGCCGCAGCAGCGGAAGAACACCGUUCACCACCUCCCCGAUGAUGACAUAAGCCUUUUCUUCCGCGUGCUGCGCUUUCUCUCCGCCCACUCCCACCUUGCCACCCUCGACGCGGCCACGGAGCGCCUCGAUGACGCCGACCGCAGCCCAUCCACCACUCCGUCCGCUCCGGUCGCCAGGCGUGGCGUGCAGUGCACCCAAACCGGCACGAGCGCCUCCGUGAACAACCGAAUUCCAACGCCGCCCGUGCUGCGGGAACCGCUGGAAGAGUUCCGCAUGAUGGCGACGAAUUUGCCCAUCGAUCAGGAAGGGCUCGAGGCGGCGCGCAAGACUGUGUGUGAGCUUCUGGAAGGGCUUUGCCACAAGCUUGCAGAUCCUGCCAUCACGAAGGAGCUGCGGCAGAAGGUGCUGCUGACGGACGGAAGCGAGCUUCUGGGAAACUCGAGCAGCAGCAGCGGCGCACUGGGCAUCUCCGCCGUGGAGUGCGGCGCCAUACGUAGCUUAAGCAGCUUUGGCAUCGAUAGCCUCAACCAGAUGCAGGAGAUUGUCCCUGGCCUGUGGUGCGGCUCCUACCACCCAGCGAUCGAUCGCGAGCUGAUGAAGCGCCGCGGCAUCACCCACGUGUGCUGCUGCAUUGGCACGCCGCCAAGCUUCCCGGGGGACUUUAUAUACAUGACGCUGUCGGCCGACGACCGCCCCGACUACGACAUGACGCCGCACUUUGCACACACCUUUGAGUUCAUCGAGAACGCGCUGGUGACGAACCAUGGCGGGGUGCUCGUGCACUGUGGCGCCGGCAUCUCUCGCGCGCCGACGGUGGUGUCAGCCUAUCUGAUGCGGAAGCUGCGCCUUUGCUCGUCUGCAGCGAUUCAUCUUGUCCAGCAGCACCGCCCGUGUGCGUCGCCAAACACUGGUUUCCGGCAACAGCUGUAUGAGUACGGCAUGAAGAUCGGUGUGCGUGAACAGGAACCGGCGGCGCGUAGGGAGCUGGCGAGCGAGAGCGCUUGGCGUGCGGCGAAUGCUCUGAGGAGGCCGUAAGUGCCCAAGGUGGGGGGGGGGCCAUCGGCUUCUCGACGCCCUCCUCUCGUCUUGGCGCAGGGAGACGAUGAGGAGGGGAGGGGGGAAGGGGAGGCAGAGACUCAUCGACAGGGCUAAAUGCUGAGCACGCGCAUGCAGGCAUGCACGCGCACACGUAGUGACAAGAGGGCAGAGGUCUGCGCUAUGUCUCGGCGUCUGUCUUUUGAGUGGGCACCGACGCUGCCUCUCACUCGCCUUUUGCGCACUGAGGCCUCCUUCCCUCCCUUCUGCAGCCUUUUCUCUGCCGCCUGUGCAUGCGUUUACCCCUUCUCGCCAUGUAUGGAGAUGUGGUACACGUAUGCGCGUGGUGGUGCGGGUGCUCGGCCGCUCCGUCUUCCUUUUGGCACCCAUCUAUCUGCCCCUUUCGUUUCUGUCUUGUCACAGCGCGCGCGGAGGCACAUGUCUGCCCUGCCCCGUGAGCGUACAUAUGUACAUCUAUGUGUCGAUCUAUAAACAUACGUGUGCCUAUGUACAUCUUUUCGUUUGCUGUUUUUACUGCGCUCGCUCUCCCUCUCUCUCCGUGCUUUUGCUUUGGAAUGUGAUGAGCCGUCGCUGCCUGAAAUAGACGUACUCGCGUGCCUCUGGUGCCUCUUUCUCCCUUCCCUUCCCUUCCUUGGUCACUACUGGUGUUGCUGCCUGUCGGUGUCACGGCUCUCUCCUUUUCGCUCUGCCCUCGGUGCGUUGUUGCCGGUGGUGGGGGUACUCUUUUCAUCACUUCUCUUAUUCCUCUCCUAUACCGGAGCGCGUUGCUUGCGCACGCGCUCGAUCCCCACACUCUCUACGUGUUUCUUUUUCCUUGUCUCGCAUAGAUGAUUGAAAGCAGGUACGAGGGGCGGGCGCAGGGGCGAGGAAGGUCGGAGAACGGCCGGGAUGUUGGGCGUGAGUGACAUGGGUAGCUGAUACGAUGAGCGAUUUUAUCGCCUCCCCUGCUUUAGCGGAGCGGAGCGCAGCCACGCGCGCGCUUCCUCACUCCCUCCGCACAUACUCGCACACACCGCGUUGCCCUUUCUUUUUCGUCACUCCCUCCCUUAACGGCUCCGUUUAUCGUGUUUAGGUUUCACUGACGUGCUCUGUUAUUCGCAUCACCGUUGCCCCGUUUUAUUGCUGCUCUCUCUCUUUCUGCAUGAUCGCUACCGCACUCGCACCCUGCGUCUUUCGCGGAUUGGGGGGGGGCAGGGGCUGCAUCGGAUGCGCGUGUCAUGGACGCGCCGAUCUGCGCUUACGUCUUGUUUUUUCUCUGCUGUUCUCCCUCCGUCUGUCCCUCUCCCACCGACUGUGCACGUGCGCGCGGGUGCUGGUGGCAAGUUUGACAUGCGCUUCACACACUUACACCAUCUUUCCCUCACAUACACACAAACACGCAGGCGAACGCUCGACUGGCUGACGAUGCUUGCCGUUUCUUGGGCUCUUUUUAGUUCCUUCCAUGUCGAGUGUAUACUGGCAUCUUUUCAUUGUCGCCUCCAUGACGGAGGGAGUUGCACAUGUGUUGCUCAUGGUGGCGCUGUGCUCUCUACUCGACGUGUAUCCGGUGAUGUCAUGCGUGGAGAUCGAUGAUGGCGCAUGCGCUUUCAUCGCUGCCGCUCCUUAAUUAUUACUCUUCAUGCGCGCGCGCGUGUGUUGUGCUGGAGGAUGCCCGCUGGUGGCAGACGAGAGAGAGAGCGAUACCACAAUGCGUUGCUCACGCACGUGGCGAGUUUGGCAGAAGAGGGGAGGGGGAUAGACGGCGCAGGAGAUGCAGGGGCGUGCAUGCAGACGGCGGUGGCGUUUGCUUGUCAGUGCACUUACCCACUCACGCACCCCCUGUGUCUUCUUGUAGCGUAUUGUCGGGCUCCUGCUUCUUGAUUGCAUGUUUAUUUUCUGUUUCCCUUUUGUGUGUAUAGGCCCUCCUCCGCGAGGUUGCUGAUGCAGCGGCUGCGGCGUGUGGAGUUGAUGAUGAUGGCCAGGGGAGAAAGUGAAAGCGACUAGAAGCACACAGAGGGGGGCGAUAGUAUGCGUGGGGUGCUGCAGAGGUUUUUCGGUGGUGGGAGUGGAGACGCCGCCGUGUCUCGUUGAUGAUACCAUGACCCCAUGCACGCCUUUUGAUGCAUACAUACAAUUUUAUUUUGAAACCAUCCACAGCGGUGGGGAGGGGGCACAUUGUGAUGAGCGUGUGUGUGUGUGCGCUGACGGAGGGAAGUGCCAGAAGGGAGACGAUGAGGUCUGCACCACUACUCUUCGGUGACACCAAUCCUCUGUAAACCUACAAGGAUGCAGUCUCUUUCCUUGAGUUCCCUCUAUAUCACCUCUCGCAGCUCAGAGACACUCCAAGAAGAUGAGUAGGCUGCACCUAGUAGAGGAAGAGGCUUCUUCCUGUGUGCUCCGGCUUGUAGGGAACGGCUGCACCAAAAAAAAAACACGCGACACACACACACACACACACACACACACAUACACACAGAUGCACAAUGAAGGAAGAGCGCAAAGGUGCUUCGGGCAUGUACAUCCACAUAGGUUCUAUCCACCGCAGUCAGCGUUGCCUCGUUGUUCAUCGAGUCUCCCCUGUCUUUCUCUGUCUUGACUCUCUUGCCGGUCUCGCGCAUCUGAGGACUGGGCACAUCAG